Molecule: RNA transcript, 1987 nt
Organism: Vitis vinifera (wine grape)
Lineage: Eukaryota; Viridiplantae; Streptophyta; Magnoliopsida; Vitales; Vitaceae
Exons: 9
Source: RefSeq, a predicted model, not a curated record
GGCCAAGCCUCCAGCGUCACGGCCCACGUCACCGGGCUUGGACAAACCCCAACGGACGUGACACCCAACUCAAAAUUCUAUCCAUCAACGUUUUACACCAUCAUUUGACGUCCGCCUCACUCCUCCCCUCACACCACCCUAAUCUCCCAAAUGCUCCGCUGCUGUUUGGGUGGGAAUCUCCUACGUCAAUGACAUCCUGCUGACAACGAAAAUGGAGCAAACUGAAUCCGACAUCAAGAGAGUUCUUCAAGACUAUCAGAAGAUCGGCUCCGGCGCUCGCUGCGAGGAGGCGAGGAUCGAAGUCUUGAACCGCGAGAUUAAGGUGUUGGAGGAUCGUGUUCGGGGCUCCGGUUCGGUGGAGUUGGAGCGCCACAGAAUGCGGAAUCUUCUCGACUAUCAGUCUACUCUCAUCGCUAGAGCUGUAUCUCGAACCGAGCUUCUUGCUGCUCUUUAUGAGGACCUUUUGCUUUUGUUUAUUCGGAGAAAACAGCUUCGAGGCUUUGAUGGUGCUGAGGGUUCUGGUGUUGAUGCAGCGCCAAAUGUUUCACUCAGCUCUGCAUUAUCAGGCGGUGAUGAUGAAAAUCAAAGAUUUGCAAAAAAUUGCUCCGAAUUGAGAUCAAUGCACAUUAUGAGAAUGAGUCAUCAUGAGGACUUGGAGGAAGAAACAACUGCAGAUCAACAACCCAUACCUUUAGGUGUAAAGUUGCUUCAAAUAAAUAUGAAUGAAGAUGCAUCCUUGACCAGCGAAGAUGGAUGUGAGUAUGGGGAUCUCCAGUAUAAGAAUAAUAUUUUAGAUAACAUUGCCAUGAGUAUCUUGGAUCCAAAUGCUAACAUUGAUAACAUUUUCAAAGAAGCAGUGGAGAAUUCUAAUAUCCUGUGUGUAGAAUCUGAAGAUUAUGCAGGUUCCAAGAAAGCACAUAGGAAAUCAUCUCGUGCAAAACGUUUGUUCGUGGAUUUUGAUGAAACUGGGAAUCCAACCGGUCCAAGUGCUGGAGUAUUUAAAAGAUCUAUUAAUUCAUAUGUAUGCCAACUUUUGCCUAUAAGAUUUAAGCAGAUAGGGGAGAUUCCAGUGGAAGACUACAAAUCUGUUGUUAAUGCACUAACAGAAAGAUAUAGUUUUGAUUUGGAUAUGAGCUACACAAGGAAAAAGAUUUCAUCUUGCUAUAGGCAACACAAGUAUAAAUUGCUAAUUCAGGUCAAGAAAGAUCUUGAAAGAGGCAUUGAACCACAAAAACCAUCCUAUGUGGAUGAAGAAGACUGGAAUGCUUUUGUGGCUAAAACAAAAGAUGAAGAAUUUGAUAGGAUUAGCAAGAAGAAUAAAGCAAGCAGAAGUCAGCAGAGUGCCCUUAACAAGAAAGAUGUGCAAUCGACUGCUCAUAAAAGAAAGAAAGGUGACCAAGGACCGGAGGGCAUUUCUAUCUGGUCGAAGUUGCACAAGCCCAAACAAGGGAUGGCAAAAUGGGCAGCUUGGUCAGGGUAUCCAGGGAAGCUGUUGGCCAUAGUUGAAGAUAGCCAAAAUGUAAGAAAUCUUUUGGCCUAUUCUCUGGUUAAAUUGAUUUUGUUACUGGUUCUUUCGUCUCUUAAAUACUCUCUCAAACCAUUUUCACAUUUGCGUCUUUUCUUAAUGGCUAUUAACUAUAUACUGAAAUUCACAGAAAUUAUAUCAACUUAAGCAAGAUGUUUUCUUGAUUUUGAACCUCUUUUUCUCACUUAAGUUAAAUUAUCAUUGAGAUUUUCCUACAAAGGACCACAAUACAUGACUCUAUGGACACUAUGGUUCUUCCUAUCAAUGAUGCUGUUAGCAGAUAUGUUUAAACUGACUAAUCCAUUCUUGUUUAUCAGAUAUAAAAUUUUGAUUAUUUUUCCAGGUUAUGGACACUAUGGUUCUUCCCAUCAAUGAAGAGGUGGUUCAAGAACAGGACCUUGAGUCUGAACUCCCCUUGAAGGAUUAUCCACAACUUGAUACUCCAAGUCAAUAUGAUUACUG